RNAcentral lists this transfer RNA (73 nucleotides) under Otolemur garnettii (small-eared galago). It matches the Rfam family "tRNA". From Rfam's summary of the family: Transfer RNA (tRNA) molecules are approximately 80 nucleotides in length. Their secondary structure includes four short double-helical elements and three loops (D, anti-codon, and T loops). Further hydrogen bonds mediate the characteristic L-shaped molecular structure. tRNAs have two regions of fundamental functional importance: the anti-codon, which is responsible for specific mRNA codon recognition, and the 3' end, to which the tRNAs corresponding amino acid is attached (by aminoacyl-tRNA synthetases). tRNAs cope with the degeneracy of the genetic code in two manners: having more than one tRNA (with a specific anti-codon) for a particular amino acid; and 'wobble' base-pairing, i.e. permitting non-standard base-pairing at the 3rd anti-codon position. Lineage: Eukaryota; Metazoa; Chordata; Mammalia; Primates; Galagidae. The record is from Rfam by way of RNAcentral.
GGGCCUGUGGCUCAAUCGGUAGGGCGCCAGCCCCAGAUACUGAGGGUGGCCGGUUCAAAUCCGGCCCGGCCAA